RNAcentral lists this transfer RNA (84 nucleotides) under Heliocybe sulcata. It matches the Rfam family "tRNA". Rfam says of the family: Transfer RNA (tRNA) molecules are approximately 80 nucleotides in length. Their secondary structure includes four short double-helical elements and three loops (D, anti-codon, and T loops). Further hydrogen bonds mediate the characteristic L-shaped molecular structure. tRNAs have two regions of fundamental functional importance: the anti-codon, which is responsible for specific mRNA codon recognition, and the 3' end, to which the tRNAs corresponding amino acid is attached (by aminoacyl-tRNA synthetases). tRNAs cope with the degeneracy of the genetic code in two manners: having more than one tRNA (with a specific anti-codon) for a particular amino acid; and 'wobble' base-pairing, i.e. permitting non-standard base-pairing at the 3rd anti-codon position. Lineage: Eukaryota; Fungi; Basidiomycota; Agaricomycetes; Gloeophyllales; Gloeophyllaceae. The record is from Rfam by way of RNAcentral.
GGCCGACUAGCUCAGUUGGUUAGAGCGUGGUGCUAAUAUCUCAAUGUUACGCCAAGGUCGUCGGUUCGACCCCGGCGUUGGCCA